GGGGAAUAUUGGACAAUGGGGGCAACCCUGAUCCAGCCAUGCCGCGUGAGUGAUGAAGGCCCUAGGGUUGUAAAGCUCUUUUGUGCGGGAAGAUAAUGACGGUACCGCAAGAAUAAGCCCCGGCUAACUUCGUGCCAGCAGCCGCGGUAAUACGAAGGGGGCUAGCGUUGCUCGGAAUCACUGGGCGUAAAGGGUGCGUAGGCGGGUUUUUAAGUCAGGGGUGAAAUCCUGGAGCUCAACUCCAGAACUGCCUUUGAUACUGAAGAUCUUGAGUCCGGGAGAGGUGAGUGGAACUGCGAGUGUAGAGGUGAAAUUCGUAGAUAUUCGCAAGAACACCAGUGGCGAAGGCGGCUCACUGGCCCGGUACUGACGCUGAGGCACGAAAGCGUGGGGAGCAAAC
RNAcentral lists this ribosomal RNA (400 nucleotides) under uncultured bacterium. Its description in RNAcentral is "bacterial SSU rRNA". It matches the Rfam family "Bacterial small subunit ribosomal RNA", at positions 356 to 773 of the family's 1533-position model. The record is from RNAcentral.